GGGCCUGUGGCGCGAUGGAUAGCGCAUUGGACUUCUAAUUCAAAGGUUGUGGGUUCAAGCCCCACGAGGGUCA
RNAcentral lists this transfer RNA (73 nucleotides) under Oryzias latipes (Japanese medaka). RNAcentral describes it as "tRNA-Arg (TCT) (tRNA-Arg-TCT-24-1)". It matches the Rfam family "tRNA". Rfam says of the family: Transfer RNA (tRNA) molecules are approximately 80 nucleotides in length. Their secondary structure includes four short double-helical elements and three loops (D, anti-codon, and T loops). Lineage: Eukaryota; Metazoa; Chordata; Actinopteri; Beloniformes; Adrianichthyidae. The record is from RNAcentral.